UGUAAUAUUUCUAUUACAGCCGGACUAUACCUUAAGCCUUUAACAGACCAAUAUCCAUCUAGUCUCUGAACCUUUCUUAUUAAGAAUUGGCUGCUGAUUGUUCAAUUCACUGCAUUAUUACCAUUUGGUAGCAAUGAUUUCAGAAGUUUCCAGCAAUUUGGAUAUUUCGCAAGCUUUAUGCUUACUAGUGUUUUUAACACUUUUACCGACUACAACAGAAUUAAUAUAG
This 229-nucleotide non-coding RNA is filed under the name Klosneuvirus KNV1. The record is from RNAcentral. Lineage: Varidnaviria; Bamfordvirae; Nucleocytoviricota; Megaviricetes; Imitervirales; Mimiviridae.